This 266-nucleotide small nuclear RNA is filed under the name Jaculus jaculus (lesser Egyptian jerboa). RNAcentral describes it as "7SK RNA (ENSJJAG00000009406.1)". It matches the Rfam family "7SK RNA". From Rfam's summary of the family: 7SK was discovered as an abundant small nuclear RNA in the mid-70s but a possible function has only recently been suggested. Two independent studies have found that 7SK RNA binds the CDK9/cyclin T complex (known as elongation factor P-TEFb). P-TEFb activates transcription by phosphorylating the C-terminal domain of RNA polymerase II. Lineage: Eukaryota; Metazoa; Chordata; Mammalia; Rodentia; Dipodidae. The record is from RNAcentral.
GGAUAUGAGGGCAAUCUGGCUGGGACAUCUGUCACCCCACUGAUCACCAGGGUUGAUUCGGCUGACCUGGCUGGAUAAGUGGGAGUCCCCUUCCUCCCCCACCACUCCAUGCGCAGGCUCAGUCGCAGAGGACGACCUUCCCAGAACAGAGGAGGACAGGCUUUCAGUCAAGGGCGUUCGAGUAGCUGCGCUCCCCCUGCUGGAAUCUCCAACAGGCUCUCAGGAACUCCUUGCGCAAGUUGUAGGCCUUGGUGACCCCGUGUGUU